RNAcentral lists this ribosomal RNA (253 nucleotides) under uncultured bacterium. Its description in RNAcentral is "partial 16S ribosomal RNA". It matches the Rfam family "Bacterial small subunit ribosomal RNA", at positions 524 to 776 of the family's 1533-position model. The record is from RNAcentral.
UACGUAGGGGGCGAGCGUUAUCCGGAUUCACUGGGUGUAAAGGGAGCGUAGACGGCGACGCAAGUCUGGAGUGAAAGCCCGGGGCCCAGCCCCGGGACUGCUCUGGAAACUGCGUCGCUGGAGUACGGGAGGGGCAGGCGGAAUUCCUGGUGUAGCGGUGAAAUGCGUAGAUAUCAGGAGGAACACCGGCGGCGAAGGCGGCCUGCUGGACCGUGACUGACGUUGAGGCUCGAGAGCGUGGGGAGCAAACAGG